ACGCUCGACACCUACGUGAGGCAGCAGUGGGGAAUAUUGCACAAUGGGGGAAACCCUGAUGCAGCGACGCCGCGUGGAGGAAGAAGGUCUUCGGAUUGUAAACUCCUGUUGUUGGGGAAAAAGAGGAUGGUACCCAACAAGGAAGUGACGGCUAACUACGUGCUAGCAGCCGCGGUAAUCUGAGCGGGCUGGCAAGGC
Molecule: ribosomal RNA, 198 nt
Filed under: uncultured bacterium
Lineage: Bacteria
Description: partial 16S ribosomal RNA
Rfam family: Bacterial small subunit ribosomal RNA
Source: RNAcentral